RNAcentral lists this long non-coding RNA (397 nucleotides) under Numida meleagris (helmeted guineafowl). Its description in RNAcentral is "lncRNA (ENSNMEG00000020013.1)". Lineage: Eukaryota; Metazoa; Chordata; Aves; Galliformes; Numididae. The record is from RNAcentral.
CAGCGGCUCCUAGGAAAGUCGGCAGCGUGCCGCUUCGGGUGAUUCCGGAGCCGCUCCCUGCCGGUCCAGGGACGCUCCGCAGCAGCGGCUGCUCAACGCCAGCACCGCGCGCCACCAACCGCCGACGGCGACGCCUGUCAGUCCACGGCGGCAAUGAGCCGAUCGGAUGCCGCGAGGCGCUCGGGGGCAGCUGCGAGCCAAUCGGGUGCCGCGACGCGCGCAGCGGCGGCUGGCAGCAAAAGCGGUCCGUGGUCCCGGGACGGGCUCGGGCGUAAAACCGACCGAGGAAAUAGGCGAGGGGCAGCCUGGAUUGGAAGCGGGGGGAGAACAUCGCUGAGCCGGCGGUCCAAGCGCCGACUGCAAGCCCGCACCUCAGCGCCUCGGAGAAACGGGUGCC